AGCAGUCGCCGCGGUAAUACGUAGGUCCCGAGCGUUAUCCGGAUUUAUUGGGCGUAAAGCGAGCGCAGGCGGUUAGAUAAGUCUGAAGUUAAAGGCUGUGGCUUAACCAUAGUACGCUUUGGAAACUGUUUAACUUGAGUGCAAGAGGGGAGAGUGGAAUUCCAUGUGUAGCGGUGAAAUGCGUAGAUAUAUGGAGGAACACCGGUGGCGGAAGCGGCUCUCUGGUCUGUAACUGACGCUGAGGCUCGAAAGCGUGGGGAGCAAACAGGAUUAGAUACCCCAGUAGUCCCUGUCUCUUAUACA
This 303-nucleotide ribosomal RNA is filed under the name uncultured bacterium. Its description in RNAcentral is "partial 16S ribosomal RNA". It matches the Rfam family "Bacterial small subunit ribosomal RNA", at positions 507 to 808 of the family's 1533-position model. The record is from RNAcentral.